Molecule: unclassified non-coding RNA, 218 nt
Filed under: soil metagenome
Description: partial contains 5.8S ribosomal RNA, internal transcribed spacer 2, and large subunit ribosomal RNA
Source: RNAcentral
AACAUCGCGCACCUGCGGGAACCUGCGGAAGGAUCAUUACAGAGUUGCAAGACUCCCUAAACCAUUGUGAACCUACCUUCUACCGUUGCUUCGGCGGGCGGGCCCAGCGCCCCCCCGGCCCCCCGCGGGCGCCCGCCGGAGGAUACCCAAACUCUUGACAUUAGUGGCCUCUCUGAGUAUUCUUUACUGAAUAAGUCAAAACUUUUAACAACGGAUCU